RNAcentral lists this long non-coding RNA (1137 nucleotides) under Homo sapiens (human). RNAcentral's name for it is "HSALNT0177418". The record is from RNAcentral. Lineage: Eukaryota; Metazoa; Chordata; Mammalia; Primates; Hominidae.
UCGGCCUCCCAAAGUGCUGGGAUUACACUCUUCCAUGUUUUUUAAAAUCUCUAGUUCUCCAACUUGGGCAGGCACCAGAACUCCCCGAGGCCUUGUCAGGAGGCAGUGGCUAGGCCCCUCCCCAGGGUGUUGGAGCCAAGAGGGCUGGGUGGGCUGGAGCUGGUGGAGCUGGGCCCCCAGCAAGCUUUCCUGCCGCUGCUGCUGCUCACUGGAGGCCUGUGCACAUGUCCCUCCCAAGGCCUAGGGAGCUCCUGGCAUGGAGGAGGCAGAUGAGUGGGUGUGUCUGGGGACCACACCUCGGCCACUGGGCUCCAGCCCCACGGUGUGCAGCCUGUCCUGUCUGGUCUUCCUGUAGCCUUUGCCCCCAGAUCCAGUGGCCAUGGACACCACCUCUGCCUCAGCCCGCCCCCCAGCCUCCUGCACUCAGUCCUGCAGACCCCACAACUGCGGCCCUGCCUCGCUGACCUAAGGCCUUUGCAUGUGUCCCUCCCAAGGCCUGGGGAACUCCUAAGCAGCCCACAGGAUUCCGCUCCAGGGUCACCUUAUCCAGAGUGCCCUUCCCGUUCCUCCGCCCCAGCAUGUGCGGUGCCACCCUAAUCAGCAUGCCUGUCACUCUGAUUGUUUGCAGAUGUGUCUCUCCUCACUACACCAUGAGAAAGAAGUACCUGAAGGACCCGAGAUUAAUGACGCUGUGCUGAGUGCUGGGCUCUCCGCACUGCACAUGGCUCGCACGAGCCUCCUGAGCAGUGUUCAAAAAGGGCCAAGGAGCCCAGCCUCCAUGCAGGUGUGCGGCCUCUGUGCAGGGGUGCGGCCUCCAUGCAGGUGUGCAGCCUCCGUGCAGGUGUGGGACUUCUGUGCAGGGGUGCGGGCCCCAGGGUCAGCAGCACAAAGGUGUCGGACUCUCCCCCUGUGGCAUCAUCUACCUCCUUGUCUAAACCUUGCCUUCCUUUUAGGUAUAAACGGAGUGUGGCAGGUGGCAGCCAGAAGAGAGAACGUGGUUGGAGCUGGCCGCAGCCAUCCUGGAUCAAUCUGUUGCUAACAACAGCAGUCUUUUCAAGGGAAGGUGUUCUCCAGCCACCUCGGGAAGCGAAGAAUUUACGGACAGGCCUGAGAAACACCAAGAUGCCUAAUGGAGAG